AAACGGCAUUUUUAUUAAAUCAUGUGAACCAGCCUCAAUAGGUCAAGUUUCAUUAAACUAACUAAAAGACAAAACACAAGGCGGACGGUUGGGAUCAGUUUCCAGGCACGCGAUCGAACAGGCCAUAGCAUGCCACGCUAUUCUUCCUUCAUGCAACGUAAAUACAGCAACCAACAGCAUGCGAUUUCGAAAAAAAGAAAAAAAGAAAAAACAAGAACUCCCAACUUCCACUCAACCUAUCUCCCUUUCUAGUGCAUGAAAUCAGAUGAUAUAAAAAACAAAACUCAAGUUCAAAGGGAGAGGAACACCAUGGUGUUUUACUUCGUUACAAAUGGUGACUUAAACAUGGAGUAAAAUGGACAGUAAGGAAGCUACACACGAGAACGGAUAUGAAUGAUAUGAACUUAGAAUCAUGAACCAUGCCUCACAUUGAGGGCUUCAACAACAUACAUGUCAUAUGGAGACAAAAAAC
This 472-nucleotide long non-coding RNA is filed under the name Lathyrus oleraceus (garden pea). RNAcentral describes it as "Pisum sativum (pea) long non-coding RNA (PSAT_LNC020607)". Lineage: Eukaryota; Viridiplantae; Streptophyta; Magnoliopsida; Fabales; Fabaceae. The record is from RNAcentral.